CUCCAUCACUUCGGAGCCCCUUUGUGGGCUGCACAUUCUGUAGCCCUGAAAGAGUCUACAGCUCUUCCAAAGCACCCUGAGGUGAGGCUUCCACACCCAGACCAGGUUCAGGCUCUGCAUCCAAACCUGACCAGGUCAUAGCUUGACCUUUGGACCCAGAGCUUCCAGAACUCCACAGUCCACUCAGAAGCUAGACCUUCUCCAACUAUGCAGGAGACUCUCCCCUCUAAGCCUCCAGAACCACCCAAGGAGCCUGUCACUCAACUCUGGUGCCUCAUGAUGUGAGUCCCACCUUCAGCUCAGGAGUCUGCUCAACAUCCAAUGUCACAAAGGGUCACAGGCCACCCUUGGACCUGGUGUUCCUCACAGCUGCAAUGCCCACCACAGAGGCUGCACUUCCUGUAGCCCUGCAAAAGGCUGCAAUCUGUCUGCCUCCACAGCACACUGAGAUAAAGAAAGGAGAAAGAAGAUGAACACUGAAAAAGGAUGAAGAGGAGAAGACAGCUGAAUGAGACUCUCUGCAUAUCAACUUGGAUCUUUCAGUUUUAGCCUUGUUACCUUGGGCAAAUUAUUUAGCUCAGUGACUCAAUUUCCUCAUCCACAAAAUGGGGCCUAUGAAUCCAUAGGUAGAACAAUCCAGAGGGGAAUGCCCACUUCAGGAAGACCACCUAGAAUGCUCCAGCAAAACCCAGGAGUGUGGGAGAGGGGUGGAGUCAGAGUGGCUGUAAGGAGAGAAAAUGCAGGGAGCACUACAGAGGAAGGACACAGAUGAGCAAUGAGCAAACAGCUGGGGAUGGAUGCACAGAAAGGACACAGCUCAAACUGGACUGUGCAGGCCACCUGUGGUGGUAGCGAGAAGGCAGCA
This 865-nucleotide long non-coding RNA is filed under the name Heterocephalus glaber (naked mole-rat). RNAcentral describes it as "lncRNA (ENSHGLG00100046395.1)". The record is from RNAcentral. Lineage: Eukaryota; Metazoa; Chordata; Mammalia; Rodentia; Bathyergidae.